This is a long non-coding RNA of Pygocentrus nattereri (red-bellied piranha), 1367 nucleotides long. RefSeq lists it as uncharacterized. The record is from RefSeq and is a predicted model, not a curated record. The transcript is spliced from 6 exons. Lineage: Eukaryota; Metazoa; Chordata; Actinopteri; Characiformes; Serrasalmidae.
UAGGUGUUUUGGGCUGAGUUCCUGUUUGUUCUCUGUCCUUUCAAAUUGGUUGCUCAACUUGUCUUUUCCUUCCUUUUGAGUUUUAUGACAGGAAAAUCUGACACAAACUUUAUAAUGGCAGUACAUGAGCCUGGGAGAAUUGCAGAGGACAGCACUGACAGCGAUGACAGUAUUAAAGACAGGCGUCCACACUUCUCUGAUGCGGAGAGCUCAAACUCAACAAACAAAACUCAACAGAGAAUCAUACUUAAAGAGAAGACUGAACAGAGUACAGACCAAACCUGUGCUGCUAGGAAAGAUCUUGGAGAAUGACCUCAUUUUACUUCAUUAAAGAUUAACUUAGGAUUCAUUUUUGGCUCCUGGGUGUAACACUGAAGACUUGGGACUCGUUUAUGAUCUGUUUUGGACUCCACUGUCCACUUUGUGAAUUCAAGUAGGAUGGGUCCACAUGCAGAAAUGACUUACACAGGUGUUCUGUUUGUGAGAGCAGUGGGUACAGUGUGCAGGCUGCAGGGUGCGGUCAAUCCUGUCCCACAAUGCACUGCAAAGAAGAGGAGGAACUCACUGUUGGAACAUGCUGGAGCUGAGUGCUCCUACAAAACAGAAUACAAAACAAGUGCUUCUUUAAAAUGUAGAGGUUGCAUUUGAAUGUAUUUCAGUAUUAAGAUGCUGUAUGUGUGUUUUAGCCAGUAUGUAGUAAAAUGACCCACUGUAAACACAGUGCUGAGCAUUGAGAGCCCCAGGGUGGUUUCUCACUAUUAUCCCUUUGAUGCACAAACCUUUCAAACACCUUCGAAUACACAACAUGGGUCAAUAAGGACCCGUAUUUAUUUCUUUUUAUUUCAUGCAUGACUGAGUGUCUCUUUGCUAUAACUUUUGAAAUCAAUUUCUUUCAUCUGUAAAGUGCAUCAUGUAAUGUGUCUAUGUCUGUGGGCAGGGUAGAAGUGCUUACUUAAAUAAUGGAGAGCACCAAAAGAGUCCCUCACUGUUUGCCCCUCUGCUCUUCCAAAAGAGAGAGAGUAUUAAUGUAAUGGUAGAAAUGGAAGGUCGCAGAGGAAGGCCUAGCGGAAUCCGUUCAUUUAUCUGUAUUUUGUACACUAUUGUUCAGACGUGUGUAAUCAAGAUUUUCAAAAAAAAAUUCCCUUUACUUGUUAAUAAUUGUAUGAAAUGAUUGUAAUAUAAUCUUUCUGUACACAUUCACAGGCCUCAAAUAAUAAGAAGGAAACCAAGACUAUAUUUCCUAAAUUUUCAAUUCAAUUCAACUUUAUUGUCAUUAUACAAUACAGGGUAGUACAGUAUAACGAAACACUAUCGGGCUACUUUUCCAGUGCAGUAAUAAAAGAUGCAUAGUAAACAGUGCAAAGACA